RNAcentral lists this ribosomal RNA (253 nucleotides) under uncultured bacterium. RNAcentral describes it as "partial 16S ribosomal RNA". It matches the Rfam family "Bacterial small subunit ribosomal RNA", at positions 524 to 776 of the family's 1533-position model. The record is from RNAcentral.
UACGUAGGGGGCAAGCGUUGCUCGGAAUUACUGGGCGUAAAGGGUCCGUAGGCGGUGCGGCAAGUCGGGAGUGAAAUCUCUGGGCUUAACCCAGAGGCUGCUUCCGAAACUGCCGCGCUAGAGUGUGAGAGAGGCGAGUGGAAUUGCGGGUGUAGCGGUGAAAUGCGUAGAUAUCCGCAGGAACAUCCGAGGCGAAGGCGGCUCGCUGGAUCACAACUGACGCUGAGGGACGAAAGCUAGGGGAGCAAACAGG